Molecule: ribosomal RNA, 484 nt
Filed under: uncultured bacterium
Lineage: Bacteria
Description: partial 16S ribosomal RNA
Rfam family: Bacterial small subunit ribosomal RNA
Source: RNAcentral
AUUGAACGCUGGCGGCAGGCCUAACACAUGCAAGUCGAGCGGAUGAAGGGAGCUUGCUCCUGGAUUCAGCGGCGGACGGGUGAGUAAUGCCUAGGAAUCUGCCUGGUAGUGGGGGAUAACGUCCGGAAACGGGCGCUAAUACCGCAUACGUCCUGAGGGAGAAAGUGGGGGAUCUUCGGACCUCACGCUAUCAGAUGAGCCUAGGUCGGAUUAGCUAGUUGGUGGGGUAAAGGCCUACCAAGGCGACGAUCCGUAACUGGUCUGAGAGGAUGAUCAGUCACACUGGAACUGAGACACGGUCCAGACUCCUACGGGAGGCAGCAGUGGGGAAUAUUGAACAAGGGGCGAAAGCCUGACGGAGCAACGCCGCGUGUGUGAGGAAGGUCUUCGGAUCGUAAAACUCUUUAAUUAGGGAAGAACAGAUGUGUAAGAAAAUCUGCCUAUUUUGACGGUACCAAAAAAGAAAGCCCCGGCUAACUACGUG